GAGGUAGUACAUCAGAUUGUGGC
RNAcentral lists this transfer RNA (23 nucleotides) under Entamoeba ecuadoriensis. RNAcentral's name for it is "partial tRNA-His". Lineage: Eukaryota; Evosea; Mastigamoebida; Endamoebidae. The record is from RNAcentral.